GGUUUAUGCAAACAUCAAAUGUGGCAUCCCACAUGGCAGCAGCAGAAAAGCAGUGGGGUAGAAGAUAAGUGAUAAUGAGGUUACCCCGGAAUGCAGUUGGUUGGCUGGCGUGCAAAGGUUGGUCUCAAACUCCUGGCCUCAAGUGAUCCUCCUGCCUCAGCCUCCGAAGUGUUGUGAUUACAGACAUGAGCCACUGUGCCCAGCUGAGGUUAUUUUCUAUGUAAAUCUCGAUGUUCUGGAAUUGACAAGGUCUCGCUUUGUCACCCAGGCUGCAGUUCAGUGGUCUGAUCACAGCUCACUGCAGCCUCGACCUCCUGGGCCCAAGCAAUCCUUCUACCCCAGCCUCCUGAGGAGCUGA
Long non-coding RNA from Symphalangus syndactylus (siamang), 358 nucleotides. RefSeq lists it as uncharacterized. The record is from RefSeq and is a predicted model, not a curated record. Lineage: Eukaryota; Metazoa; Chordata; Mammalia; Primates; Hylobatidae.